This 706-nucleotide ribosomal RNA is filed under the name uncultured marine bacterium. RNAcentral's name for it is "bacterial SSU rRNA". It matches the Rfam family "Bacterial small subunit ribosomal RNA", at positions 36 to 789 of the family's 1533-position model. The record is from RNAcentral.
CUGGCGGCAGGCCUAACACAUGCAAGUCGAGCGCUCACUUCGGUGGGAGCGGCGGACGGGUUAGUAACGCGUGGGAAUAUGCCCGGUACUAAGGAAUAGCCUUUGGAAACGAAGAGUAAUACCUUAUACGCCCUUCGGGGGAAAGAUUUAUCGGUAUCGGAUUAGCCCGCGUAAGAUUAGAUAGUUGGUGGGGUAAUGGCCUACCAAGUCUACGAUCUUUAGCUGGUUUUAGAGGAUGAUCAGCAACACUGGGACUGAGACACGGCCCAGACUCCUACGGGAGGCAGCAGUGGGGAAUCUUAGACAAUGGGCGCAAGCCUGAUCUAGCCAUGCCGCGUGAGUGAAGAAGGCCUUAGGGUCGUAAAACUCUUUCGCCAGAGAUGAUAAUGACAGUAUCUGGUAAAGAAACCCCGGCUAACUCCGUGCCAGCAGCCGCGGUAAUACGGAGGGGGUUAGCGUUGUUCGGAAUUACUGGGCGUAAAGCGCACGUAGGCGGACUGGAAAGUUGGGGGUGAAAUCCCGGGGCUCAACCUCGGAACUGCCCCCAAAACUAUCAGUCUAGAGUUCGAGAGAGGUGAGUGGAAUUCCAAGUGUAGAGGUGAAAUUCGUAGAUAUUUGGAGGAACACCAGUGGCGAAGGCGGCUCACUGGCUCGAUACUGACGCUGAGGUGCGAAGUGUGGGGAGCAAACAGGAUUAGAUACCCUG